AUGCAAGUCGAGCGGGGGAAGGUAGCUUGCUACUGGACCUAGCGGCGGACGGGUGAGUAAUGCUUAGGAAUCUGCCUAUUAGUGGGGGACAACAUCUCGAAAGGGAUGCUAAUACCGCAUACGUCCUACGGGAGAAAGCAGGGGAUCUUCGGACCUUGCGCUAAUAGAUGAGCCUAAGUCGGAUUAGCUAGUUGGUGGGGUAAAGGCCUACCAAGGCGACGAUCUGUAGCGGGUCUGAGAGGAUGAUCCGCCACACUGGGACUGAGACACGGCCCAGACUCCUACGGGAGGCAGCAGUGGGGAAUAUUGGACAAUGGGGGGAACCCUGAUCCAGCCAUGCCGCGUGUGUGAAGAAGGCCUUAUGGUUGUAAAGCACUUUAAGCGAGGAGGAGGCUACUUUAGUUAAUACCUAGAGAUAGUGGACGUUACUCGCAGAAUAAGCACCGGCUAACUCUGUGCCAGCAGCCGCGGUAAUACAGAGGGUGCGAGCGUUAAUCGGAUUUACUGGGCGUAAAGCGUGCGUAGGCGGCUUAUUAAGUCGGAUGUGAAAUCCCCGAGCUUAACUUGGGAAUUGCAUUCGAUACUGGUGAGCUAGAGUAUGGGAGAGGAUGGUAGAAUUCCAGGUGUAGCGGUGAAAUGCGUAGAGAUCUGGAGGAAUACCGAUGGCGAAGGCAGCCAUCUGGCCUAAUACUGACGCUGA
This 700-nucleotide ribosomal RNA is filed under the name Acinetobacter baumannii Naval-17. RNAcentral's name for it is "bacterial SSU rRNA". It matches the Rfam family "Bacterial small subunit ribosomal RNA", at positions 55 to 749 of the family's 1533-position model. The record is from RNAcentral. Lineage: Bacteria; Pseudomonadati; Pseudomonadota; Gammaproteobacteria; Moraxellales; Moraxellaceae.